GAUGAAGAACGUAGCGAAAUGCGAUAAGUAAUGUGAAUUGCAGAAUUCAGUGAAUCAUCGAAUCUUUGAACGCACAUUGCGCCCCCUGGUAUUCCGGGGGACAUGCCUGUUCGAGCGUCAUUUCACCACUCAAGCCUCGCUUGGUAUUGGGCAACGCGGUCCGCCGCGUGCCUCAAAUCGACCGGCUGGGUCUUCUGUCCCCUAAGCGUUGUGGAAACUAUUCGCUAAAGGGUGUUCGGGAGGCUACGCCGUAAAACAACCCCAUUUCUAAGGUUGACCUCGGAUCAGGUAGGGAUACCCGCUGAACUUAAGCAUAUCAAUAAGCGGAGGA
RNAcentral lists this unclassified non-coding RNA (331 nucleotides) under soil metagenome. RNAcentral describes it as "partial contains 5.8S ribosomal RNA, internal transcribed spacer 2, and large subunit ribosomal RNA". The stretch from base 1 to 120 matches the Rfam family "5.8S ribosomal RNA", at positions 35 to 154 of the family's 154-position model. The record is from RNAcentral.